Molecule: ribosomal RNA, 642 nt
Filed under: Triticum aestivum (bread wheat)
Lineage: Eukaryota; Viridiplantae; Streptophyta; Magnoliopsida; Poales; Poaceae
Description: partial small subunit ribosomal RNA
Source: RNAcentral
AUGGCUUCCUGCCUCACGGAUAUCAUUAAUACCAACAGAGUAGACUUCAUUGGUUUGCAGGAGACCAUGAAAAAAAUUAUAGCCCUCUUUUUUAGGAGAUUUGACCCCCAUUCGGAGUUUAGAUGGGAAUGGAUCCCAUCGAUUGGGAAAUCUGGUGGGAUUCUAUGUGGAUCGAGACUAGAAACACUUGAGGUUAUAGAUGUAGUGCGUGGUAAAUUUAUAUUGCAGCUCAAUCUCUUUGACAAGAUUAAAAGAUGUGAAUGGGCUCUGCUGGUGGUGUAUGGUGCAGCCCAUGAUGAAAAUAAGCCUGAAUUUUUGGCUGAGUUGUCCUCCUUUUGUCAUAGGAUCAAAAUUCCUUAUUUGGUGGGUGGUGAUUUUAACAUCAUUAGACACUGUGGGGAAAAGAAUAAAAAGACUCCUUUAUCCCAUUUCUCGGAUGUCUUUAAUGCUGUCAUUCAUCUACUAGCCCUGAGGGAGAUUUUUAUGGGCGGUGGGUGCUUCACAUGGUCGAACAAACAAGAACACCCCACUUUGGAAAAACUGGAUAGGGUCUUGAUGUCCUCCGACUGGGAAGAUCUAUACCCGCUGGUGUCAGUUACUAAGAUGGUCAAGGAUUUAUCUGAUCAUAACCCUUUGCUUCUA